RNAcentral lists this ribosomal RNA (434 nucleotides) under uncultured bacterium. RNAcentral describes it as "partial 16S ribosomal RNA". It matches the Rfam family "Bacterial small subunit ribosomal RNA", at positions 341 to 792 of the family's 1533-position model. The record is from RNAcentral.
ACGGGAGGCAGCAGUGGGGGAUAUUGCACAAUGGGGGAAACCCUGGUGCAGCGACGCCGCGUGAGCGAAGAAGUAUUUCGGUAUGUAAAGCUCUAUCAGCAGGGAAGAAAAUGACGGUACCUGACUAAGAAGCUCCGGCUAAAUACGUGCCAGCAGCCGCGGUAAUACGUAUGGAGCAAGCGUUAUCCGGAUUUACUGGGUGUAAAGGGAGCGUAGACGGCGUGGCAAGUCUGAUGUGAAAGCUAUGGGCUCAACCCAUAAACUGCAUUGGAAACUGUCAUGCUAGAGUGUCGGAGAGGUAAGCGGAAUUCCUAGUGUAGCGGUGAAAUGCGUAGAUAUUAAGAGGAACACCAGUGGCGAAGACGGCUUACUGGACGAUAACUGACGUUGAGGCUCGAAAGCGUGGGGAGCAAACAGGAUUAGAUACCCUGGUA